AGAGUUUGAUCAUGGCUCAGUAUUGAACGCUGGCGGAAUGCUUUACACAUGCAAGUCGAACGGCAGCACGGGGCAACCUGGUGGCGAGUGGCGAACGGGUGAGUAAUACAUCGGAACGUGCCCAAUCGUGGGGAUAACGUAGCGACAGUUACGCUAAUACCGCAUACGAUCUACGGAUGAAAGCGGGGAUCGCAAGACCUCGCGCGAAUGGAGCGGCCGAUGUCAGAUUAGGUAGUUGGUGGGGUAAAGGCUCACCAAGCCGACGAUCUGUAGCUGGUCUUAGAGGACGACCAGCCACACUGGGACUGAGACACGGCCCAGACUCCUACGGGAGGCAGCAGUGGGGAAUAUUGCGCAAUGGGCGAAAGCCUGACGCAGCGACGCCGCGUGAGGGAUGAAGGCCUUCGGGUUGUAAACCUCUUUCAGCAGGGACGAAGCGAAAGUGACGGUACCAGCAGAAGAAGCACCGGCUAACUACGUG
This 481-nucleotide ribosomal RNA is filed under the name uncultured bacterium. RNAcentral's name for it is "bacterial SSU rRNA". It matches the Rfam family "Bacterial small subunit ribosomal RNA", at positions 8 to 507 of the family's 1533-position model. The record is from RNAcentral.